This 284-nucleotide transfer-messenger RNA is filed under the name Klebsiella pneumoniae. It matches the Rfam family "transfer-messenger RNA", at positions 36 to 329 of the family's 374-position model. From Rfam's summary of the family: Bacterial tmRNA, also known as 10Sa RNA or SsrA, is named for its dual tRNA and mRNA-like properties. Its role is to liberate the mRNA from a stalled ribosome. To accomplish this part of the tmRNA is used as a reading frame that ends in a translation stop signal. The record is from RNAcentral. RNAcentral also lists the same sequence under 1 other name. Lineage: Bacteria; Pseudomonadati; Pseudomonadota; Gammaproteobacteria; Enterobacterales; Enterobacteriaceae.
GCUCAUUAAGCGUGUCGGAGGGUUGUCUUCGUCAUCAACACACACAGUUUAUAAUAACUGGCAAAUCAAACAAUAAUUUCGCAGUAGCUGCCUAAUCGCACUCUGCAUCGCCUAACAGCAUUUCCUAUGUGCUGUUAACGCGAUUCAACCUUAAUAGGAUAUGCUAAACACUGCCGUUUGAAGUCUGUUUAGAAGAAACUUAAUCAAACUAGCAUCAUGUUGGUUGUUUAUCACUUUUCAUGAUGCGAAACCUAUCGAUAAACUACACACGUAGAAAGAUGUGU